Molecule: unclassified non-coding RNA, 240 nt
Filed under: soil metagenome
Description: partial contains 5.8S ribosomal RNA, internal transcribed spacer 2, and large subunit ribosomal RNA
Source: RNAcentral
AACGCACGAGACCUGCGGACCUGCGGAGGGAUCAUUAAUGAGAAGCUGCCCCUCGUGGGUAGACCUCCCACCCUCUGUGAACUUACCUUUGUUGCUUUGGCAGGCCCGUCCUCUGGACCGCCGGCUUCGGCUGGCCCGUGCCUGCCAGAGGAUUCCAAACCCUGUCUGUCAGUGUUGUCUGAGUCUAUAUGAAAUCGUUAAAACUUUUAUCAAUGGAUCUCUAGAUCGGAAGAGCACACG